CAGGUAUGAGUUGGAUGCAAAGGCCUCUGAAGACCUUUCCAAUCCUGAAAUCUGUGAAGUAUAAAAAGAUUCCUUGGUUAGUAGAAACUGAGGGUUGCAACAGUACAAGUUUUUGGUAGAUCUAAACUUAGCUAUAAAAUAGUGUAGUGUAUACCCCUCCCUGGCCUUGAAGACAGUUGGAAAGUCUGGAAGUGGAGUGAAUUGAGAUGGGCAAUUGCUACCUGAAAAGUAACUCUUCAAAAAUGGAUGGGUUUUGCCCAGAGCCCAGUGAGGAAAAUAACCAUAAAGAACAGACUGGCCAAAAGCGGCGUUCUUCAAUUUUGAAACCCCCACGGAGUCCUCUUCAAGACAUAAGAAGUGGAAAUGAAAUUGGUCAGGUGGGUCUCCAAUGGUAAUGGUUUUAUAAAUUACCAUGCCUCAUUUUAAUAAUUGCAAAAUGUCA
Molecule: long non-coding RNA, 442 nt
Filed under: Vombatus ursinus (common wombat)
Lineage: Eukaryota; Metazoa; Chordata; Mammalia; Diprotodontia; Vombatidae
Description: lncRNA (ENSVURG00010008103.1)
Source: RNAcentral